CAGUCGCCGCGGGAAUACGAAGGGUGCAAGCGUUACUCGGAAUUACUGGGCGUAAAGCGUGCGUAGGUGGCUCGCCAAGUUGGAUGUGAAAUCCCCGGGCUCAACCUGGGAACUGCAUCCAAAACUGGCGAGCUAGAGUAUGGUAGAGGGUGGUGGAAUUUCCUGUGUAGCGGUGAAAUGCGUAGAUAUAGGAAGGAACAUCAGUGGCGAAGGCGACCACCUGGACUGAUACUGACACUGAGGUGCGAAAGCGUGGGGAGCAAACAGGAUUAGAUACCCCCGUAGUCCCUGUCUCUUAUAC
Molecule: ribosomal RNA, 301 nt
Filed under: uncultured bacterium
Lineage: Bacteria
Description: partial 16S ribosomal RNA
Rfam family: Bacterial small subunit ribosomal RNA
Source: RNAcentral